CCUACGGGAGGCUGCAGUGAGGAAUAUUGGUCAAUGGCCGGAAGGCUGAACCAGCCAUGCCGCGUGAAGGUCAGUGCCCUAUGGGCGUUAAACUUCUUUUGUGCGGGAGCAAUAAUGGUCACGUGUGGCCAGACGAGAGUACCGUACGAAUAAGCAUCGGCUAACUCCGUGCCAGCAGCCGCGGUAAGACGGGGGAAGCAAGCGUUAUCCGGAUUUAUUGGGUUUAAAGGGUGCGUAGGCUGUGAGGUAAGUCAGCGGUGAAAUGCCCCGGCUCAACGGGGUGAAGUGCCAUUGAUACUGCCUUGCUGGAAUGCGGAUGCCGUGGGAGGAAUGUGUGGUGUAGCGGUGAAAUGCAUAGAUAUCACACAGAACACCGAUUGCGAAGGCAGCUCACGAAUCCGCGAUUGACGCUGAUGCACGAAAGCGUGGGUAUCAAACAGGAUUAGAUACCCUAGUAGUC
RNAcentral lists this ribosomal RNA (460 nucleotides) under uncultured bacterium. RNAcentral describes it as "partial 16S ribosomal RNA". It matches the Rfam family "Bacterial small subunit ribosomal RNA", at positions 338 to 795 of the family's 1533-position model. The record is from RNAcentral.